Long non-coding RNA from Esox lucius (northern pike), 2960 nucleotides. Lineage: Eukaryota; Metazoa; Chordata; Actinopteri; Esociformes; Esocidae. The record is from Ensembl.
ACGGGGGUCUGCUAACCGAAACAACUAUGACAAAGGUUGCCAUCGGUGUGGCUCGAUUGAACAUUGGGUACGCGAUUGUCCUGAAAAAGAAGAUGGACAAAACAAUAGAGACAAUUUUAAUUCCAGUGGAUUUACAGUGAACAAUCCAAGGGGAACUCGGAGAAACGAAGGCUACCAGGAGGAGGGGUUUUGACGCUCGGAGGGGGCAGGACAGGACCCAUCUACCGGUUCUGAACAACAUCCACAGGAGUGUAAAAGCUGCUCUACCAACUCCCAUUGAUGGCCCGCUGCACGACAUCGAGCCUGGUGAUUGGGUAGUCAUCAAGGACUGCAAGAGAAAGCACUGGAGCAAGCCACGCUGGUUGGGUCCAUACCAAGUUCAACUGGUCACUCAGUCUGCUGUCAAGGUUGCUGAACGAGGAACCUGGGUCCACGCCACGCACUGUAAGAAGGCUCCAGCGUUAGAAGAUACGGCGAAAUAAUAGGUAAAUUGAAGUUACCUAAGGGCGGCGUGGGUUGUGGUGCUAGUAACCAACAACUCCAACACAUCCUGCGACCAUGGAGCCAGAGAGACAAGGACCAUGGAACCCCUUCAGGAGAUUCGGAGGAACAAGAUGCACCAUCGGGUGCCUGCUGAUUUUGAGUAUUAUCAUCACCAUACCGAUAGUGUGGAUUUCCAAACCGCACUGUGAUGAUCAUGGACGGAUUGUAAAUAUGACACCUAAUGAAGCAAGGAAAGAGACAUUUGUACUCCAUAAGAAAAGGUCAGAACGAGAGAUAGGGCCUGAUUUUGAACGGACUAGGUUAAUCUCUUGUGACAUGAUGAACUGCCCCCCGGAUGGGGAUUGCUAUGUACUGACAAGCCCAGUGUUGAAGGAUAAUAAGUGGUAUUGGACUCACCUGAAUGCAGGAGGGAACACUAUGUUCCCCUCAUACUAUUUGCCCAACCAUGUGAAUAGGUGGAGAUGUUAUGAUAAUGAUUAUUGUACUGUUAACAUUUCCAAACCUCUAGGAGUAAUCCAGGAUUACUGGUGUUUCAGUACCGAUGAGGAUGACACCCCUUGCAGAUCACCUGACUUCCCUAAAGGUAGACCCGCUAUGAUAUGUCCCUUAACAGUUGCACGUACUACUGUAGUUCCUACUCCUGCACCACGACGUCCUGAACCAAGUAGAGUAAGGAGAGCACUUUUAACUGCAAAACACAAGAACAUGACUGAUUGCUGGAUCUGUCAACACAUACCAACAUCUUCACGUUCACCUAUGUUAACCCCUAUCCCAUUUUCAGUAGCAGACUGGCAGGCACACGGUUGGACCGAGGUGGCAGCACAAAUGACACCACCAGAUAAGGACUUUUAUACCCCGUCUGCCAUUCCUGACCACCCGUGUGAGGCUAACUUAGAUUUGGUCUAUAUGGUGAUAGUAGAAUUUAACAAUCACCGUCGUCCUGUGGGAGUGAAUAUAACCAAAUUAUUUAGGCUAACCUACACCGAGCGAGUAGGAGCACGUGGCUUCAUUGUAAAGAUGCAAAUGAUCCUGGUGCAGACAGACUGUCGCACAGAGGAGGAUGAAGUCAGAACAGGUGCUUCAGGAGCCACACAGAGUUUAGGACAAAGUGAUUGCUCCACCACAACUCAAACCAACUUCGCGGCUCUAGGGGCUUUGCCGGAGCAGGUCUAUAUAGUCUGUGGAGGGAAAGCAUACAGUUGCAUUCCUAGAGACGCAGGUGGAGUAUGCUAUAUGCCGUACUCGGUCCCUUUGAUUAGGCGAGCAGAUCACAGGGAAAUGGCAGCCUUAUAUCAGUCCCAAUUUCGCCAUAAGUGAACACUUACUAGAACUCAACGUAUAUUUAGUGUUCUGAUCCCAGGAUAUGGCACAUACACCUCACAGGAAGAGAUAAUGGCUCUGUCCAAAGUGUUGGAGAAACACAUGAAUUUGACAAAUGACACAAUUCCGGCAAUAGGCACGGAGCUGAGUGAAACCCGUUCAGUUGCUCUGCAGAACAGAAUGGCCCUAGAUAUGAUUUUGGCUUCUCAGGGCGGUGUCUGUAAGGUGGUGGGAUCUGAAUGUUGUACAUACAUUUCAGAUGCAUCACAAAAGGUAAUUAAUUUAGUCCAAGAAACUAAUAAAGGAAUAGAAGAGCUUCAUACAGUUCAUGGGUGGGACCCAUUCUCAGGACUUUCCUCUAUGGUUGGUCCCUGGGGGAUGACAAUAUACAAGUUGUUGACUACUGUUUUAGCCGCCAUUGCCUUUUUGUUUGUUUGUGGUAUAUUUUUGUCUUGUUUAAUAAAAGUGUGUGUUUCUAAGUUUGAAACACAGGUAAUGGUCCAGCAGCAUGUAAAUGAGGAUUCCGAUGUUUCAGAGAUGUUCCAGUUCCCAAAUUACUGGGAUGAUGAUGAUAUCAUAAAAGAUCAUGUUGUUCAGGAGCAUUGUUUGUAGUAGUCUGAAGUUUAAUGAAUAGAUGUAAAUGGUCUGAUUGGUUAAACGUUGCAUGUUUGUAUUACAUGACAUUUUAUGAUAUAGGGCGGAUUGUCAGGGAAAUUUCCCCAUGUUUGGAUAAAUAAAGGAAUGUAGGUAGAGUGGGGUCUGGUGUUUGACUCAGGGAGACAUCCUUGAACAUCAUCCUUGACUGGCACUAGUGGAUUAGUUACUCGUAAAUGAGUUAAUCUGUUUAACACUUUUAGGGUCUAUCCUUGGGUGUCCAGACAUUGUGACUCCUAAAAGGUUGAAAAGGAUUACCAUGUGAAUGUGUUUUAUUGACAUACAUAUUACCACACCCCUUUUUACUCUCCUUUAAAUGAUGAUGCUUGUCCUGUUUUACUUUAGAGAUUAUUCAUUGUUACUUUGUAACCUGUGUAUUCUCUCCUUGCAAGAAUAAACUGAUUAUUGUGCAAAUUGAGUUUUCCUCUGUCUUACCUACCAUUUUCGUAAAUAGUUUGGACUUUAGAAAUUGCCAUCACACC